AUACGGAGGAUCCGAGCGUUAUCCGGAUUUAUUGGGUUUAAAGGGAGCGUAGGUGGGAUAUUAAGUCAGCUGUGAAAGUUUGGGGCUCGACCUUAAAAUUGCAGUUGAUACUGGUUUCCUUGAGUACGGUACAGGUGGGCGGAAUUCGUGGUGUAGCGGUGAAAUGCUUAGAUAUCACGAAGAACUCCGAUCGCGAAGGCAGCUCACCGGGCCGGAACUGACACUGAUGCUCGAAAGCGUGGGUAUCAAACAGGAUUAGAUACCCUGGUAGUCCACGCAGUAAACGAUGAUUACUAGCUGUUUGCGAUAUACAGUAAGUGGCACAGCGAAAGCGUUAAGUAAUCCACCUGGGGAGUACGCCGGCAACGGUGAAACUCAAAGGAAUUGACGGGG
RNAcentral lists this ribosomal RNA (393 nucleotides) under uncultured bacterium. Its description in RNAcentral is "partial 16S ribosomal RNA". It matches the Rfam family "Bacterial small subunit ribosomal RNA", at positions 523 to 918 of the family's 1533-position model. The record is from RNAcentral.